RNAcentral lists this ribosomal RNA (253 nucleotides) under uncultured bacterium. RNAcentral describes it as "partial 16S ribosomal RNA". It matches the Rfam family "Bacterial small subunit ribosomal RNA", at positions 524 to 776 of the family's 1533-position model. The record is from RNAcentral.
UACGGGGGGGGCAAGCGUUGUUCGGAAUUACUGGGCGUAAAGGGCUCGUAGGCGGCCAACUAAGUCAUACGUGAAAUCCCUCGGCUUAACCGGGGAACUGCGUCUGAUACUGGAUGACUUGAGUUCGGGAGAGGGAUGCGGAAUUCCAGGUGUAGCGGUGAAAUGCGUAGAUAUCUGGAGGAACACCGGUGGCGAAGGCGGCAUCCUGGACCGAUACUGACGCUGAUGAGCGAAAGCCAGGGGAGCAAACGGG